AGAGGGGAGGAAGAGAGAGGGGAGGGAGGAGGAGAGAGGGCGAGAGAGGGGGAAGAGAGAGAGACCUACUACCCUAAUAGAGCUUUGAGUGGGGCAGUAAAAACAGCAAGCUGAGAAUCACCAUGGUCACAGGAAUGCACAGGUACAGCGUCACUUCCUGAUGAUGUCACUAUUUUUGCUUGGUGGAAGAGAGAGAAGAGAAUGUCACCUGUGGAUGAUUCAUCUUCGCAGCAGCUGGUUUGGUCCAGGUGUCUGGCCCCAGGGAGAAGCUUCUGUGUUUGGAGGUUGUGGAGGUGCUUGCCAGGCAGAGUCAUAGACUGUUCCACUGAGCAUGUUCAGUGGGCCACCAUGGGAGGAUUGCCUGAGUUGGGACAGCCAUAAACUCCACUAUCUCUGGUUUGGGAAAUAUCUCACUUGGUAUCCUCAUUUCAUUCUUUGACCCUAGAGAUUUAUAGUUUCCAGCUACAGGAAAGGUCCGUAUUUUCAUAGCAAGUGGUAAAAUAUCUCUUUGUCCUUUCAAAGACAUGAGUUCCAAGCUGAGAAGCUGUGUGACUAUGGGAGAGGGAUCUUCUGUCUGCAUAGUGCAGCUGUCAGCCUUCCCUACAGAAGCGAACCCACGUGGCUGGAGCACUGGGGAGAGCAUUAUCUCCAGCUUCGCUGAACUUCCCACAUGUAGCCUUUGAAAUUUUUCCCGCUCAACGGUCUACCCCCCUCCACUGCAGCCUUGAAAGAAGAUGUCUGAAAGUAGUCUAUUUUUAGUAUGGAGCUGGUUGUGAAGAGAUCAUGAGUGGGAGAACUGGUUUCAGGGAAACUUGCAUGUCCUCAAGCUGCCCUUUGGUUGUGUGCCCCACCCCCGCAGCCGUACCCCCCCCCCUCUCCACGUUGUCAUUUUUAAAAAGUUGUACUCUGUUGCUAUUUGGAAUAAAUGUCUCAGUUCCCGAUCCUAUUAAAUCUGAACCCAUCAAUGUCCAACUGGAAACUUGCGUAAAGCGCGUUAACAAUAAUAAAGUCAGCACAGCAUUUAAAAGUAGAUCUGGUAUCAGAUCCACCUCUCCUCCCUCCCACCUGGGAUCCUACAGAAAACUGCAAAAUCUCAGUCCUUUUGUUACCCACUUAUAACAUGGGAAUAAACAUAAUAAUUACAGUUUAUGUUUUAGUCCUCUUGUAAAAAAAUAUACGCGGGAGACUGUUUUGCAAAUCAUAAAAUAUUACACAAAGCUUAAUUAUUUUACAGAAAAACAUAUAUAGAUUUUCUUCCCUCUUAAAUUAUUCAUUUUGUAUCCAUUCCUAUAGCUUGGAGAAAUGAGGUAUUUGAUUCUUAGUUCCUGGGAACUGCUUGUACAUUCACAUCAAUUAUUUCACUUUCCUCCCAUGCCAUGCUUACUCUACCUACAGACUUUACUGUGGGACUGAGUUGUCUGUUAUUUAAAGUAAGUUGGACUCUGACUUCUAGGCCUUUUGGUAUAUAUUCAUUUUCUGGUUGCAAUUUCAUGUAGGACUCUGGAGAUAGUCAGAAUGGGUAAUUAGGUGUUACUUAACAAAGCAACAUGGAUUUCUUGGUAACAUUUGUUCUGAAUUCUGAAAUUUGUAGACAUGAAAGUAAGUUGUGCUGGGAGGGAAAGAGUCAAUGGUCAAUGAGGAAGAUCAUUAUUUUCUGAAGGUGUGGCAUUUUUAGAGUAUAGGAUGAAUAUCCUUUCUGAGAAUCUAUUAUGAUAGCUGGCCAUUCCAGGUUUAUUUCCUGUUGCUGUGAUAAGAAACAAAAACAAAUACAAAACAAAAGCAAAAGCAAAACAAACAAACAAAAACCAAAACCUGACCAAAGCACCUUAGGAGAAAAAGGCAGCUAGUCACAUUCACAGUGAAGAGCAGAGAGAGAAUGGAUGCAUGCUUGCUUGUGUUCAGCUCUAAAAUAGUUCAAGUUUCCCUGCCUAGGGAGUGGUGCUGCUUAUAGUGGGCAGGUCUCCCCACUACAUUUAAUGUAAGAUAACCCUAUAAAGACAGGCUCAUAGGCCAACCUGAUUAAAAUAGUUCUUCAUGAAGACUUUCUUCUCCUGUAAUUCUAGAUUGUGUCAAGUUGACAAUUAAACCAUUUAAUUAUCACAACUGUACUCCUUAGCAACUUGACACAAUACAGAAUCACCUGCAAAGGCGAAUCACAAUGAGAAUUGUCUGGAAUGGAUUUGCUUGUAAUCAUGCCUCUGAGGAAUCUUCUUAGGUUAGUUAAUUGAGGUGGGAAGAUGACUUACCAUGGAUGUGGGUGACACCAUUUCGUCCUCUGGACUCUGGGCUAAGGAAAGGAGAAAGGUCACUAAGUUCUAGGCAUCAUGCAUGAAUUCAUUUCUCUUUGCUCAUGAAUGUGACUGCAAUGUGACUCAUUCCCUGGAGCUCUUGUCAAUGUCUUGUCUUGGCAUCCCUACUAUGCUGGAAUGGAACCUGGAACCAUGAACAAAAGUAAAAUCUUUCUUUUUCUCCUUAAGUCGCUUUUCUCAGGGUAUUUUCUCACAGCAACAGAAAAACAAAACAAAACAACAGAAAGAAAAGAAAAGAAAAAAAAAAACCUAUGAAGACAGUGAUCUAAAGCAAAUGAAGAUGACUGAAACCAGGUGUCUUGAGAGAGGCUAGGAUGGAGUUCAGAGGCCAUGGAAACAUCACAGAACUGAGUACUAGAGGCCACUGUAGCUGCACUGCCUAGAGGAAACAUGCCACUUUCCAAUAUUGUCCAGCUACUUACUGUCCUAUUUAAAUUAAAGUUUUUAUUAUAGAAAAUACAUGUAAUGUAAAAUUGACCCUUUUUUUUGGUUUUUCUUGAGACAGGGUUUCUCUGUAUAGCCCUGACUGUCCUGGAACUCACUUUGUAAAACAGACUGGCCUCAAACUCAGAAAUCUGCCUGCCUCUGUCUCCCGAGUGCUGGGAUUAAAGGCAUGCGCCACCAUGGCCAGCAAAAUUGACCAUUUUAAUCAUGUUUUGAUGUAUAGUUCACUGGCAUUAAGUACACUCUCAUUAUUAUGCAACUACCACCACCACCACCAUCCAGGCCCAGAGCUGUGAGGUUUGUUUUUAGAGAGAAAUGAAAUCAUUUCUGUGGAAGCUCUUAGAAGAGCAUAAUUCACCAUAGGAAUGCAAAAUAUUGUCAUGCCUCUUACUGUCCAAUAAUUUAGCAGAAGGGGCAAAGGUCACCUUCAAAGGGUUGCUUUACUUGUAAGUGAUUGGAGAAGGCCAAAUAAAUGGUCUCUUGUGGAGGAUUCAAAUUAGUGGAGAUGCCCCAGGGAUCACCUGUAGCAAUUGAAGUCAUACCCAACUUGAACUUACAACAAAUUUGCAUCAAUCAGUUCCUCAUUUGAGCCUGAGUUAGAAGAUAUCAUUUCCCCCCUGCUGCACAUUUGAAAUGAGUGGGUCAGGAAAGCUGAAGAAGUCAGGAGAGGGAGGGAGCCCAUGUGGCCUAAUGAAGAGGUCUAAAAAUAGUUGAGAGAAAGAAUUCUCCCAAGUGGGAUUCUGAAGUUCUCUCAGAUGCUGGGUAGCAUUCUGACUUUAUUCUCACCCAGCUCUUCCAUCCUGAAUUCUCAGCAAGGUUUGUCCACCUUGAGGAGGACAAUAAAACAUGAUAUACUCAUCAAGAGAUAAAUAAAUGAAAGCAUUUUAACAUUUGACAACAUAUAUAUAUGUAUGUAUAUUUAUAUACAUAUGUAUAUAUUUAUGUGUGUGUGUAUGUUGUCUAUAUAGAAAUAAAUAUUUGUGUAUAUGUAUAUGUUACACACUGUAUAUGUGUAUGUGUAUGUGAUGUGUAUAUGUAUAUGUAUAUGUAUAUGUAUAUGUAUAUGUAUAUGUAUAUGUAUAUGUAUAAUCUCCAGUCUGGUUGAAGCUUGGAAACUGGAUUAAAGAAAAGAGAAAUGUGGAAAUGUGGAAAGGACUUUUGACAUAACAAAUCUAAUGAUAUCUGUCUGUGUCUUGUCAUGCUCUGUUUUAUUUUCAAUAGUUUCUAUGGAAUUAAAUUUGGAUCUAAUUGUCAUUUGUGUGAAGUGCCCAAUGCUUUACUCAUCUAGAUGAAGAGAGUAAGAGAUGGAGUAUAUAUUUGUGUUGUUCAGAACUGUGGAGAAUGGCUCAGUAGGAACACUUUUGUCUAGCAUGUAUAAGCCAUAAACUAAAUCCCCAGAACUUCCAAAAAUAAAACGAAACCAUUCACAGGACUCAGUCUGUUUUGACUGAGUAUACCAUGUGCCAUAGCAGUGAGAUUUGUUUACAAAUGCACUGGGAGAGAGAAGACAGAAGAGGCAUUUAUUAAGAGCUUAUUGUAUGCACAGCCUUUAUGAAUCAUGUCAACUAACUACCUUCUUACUUGUUAAGUUCACCGAUGCUUAAAGAGGUUAUGCAGUUUAUCCUAGAUCAUAUGGCUAAUGAAGGUGAGAGCUGUGUUGACAUUCACUCCUAUUUUGCUCCUAAGCACAAAGAACUCCCAUCAUCCUCAGUAGAAAUGGCAGAUUUGAUCUACUUCCUCCUGAAAAAGGUCAUAGUUUGAAA
Molecule: long non-coding RNA, 4516 nt
Organism: Mus musculus (house mouse)
Lineage: Eukaryota; Metazoa; Chordata; Mammalia; Rodentia; Muridae
Product: predicted gene, 53502
Exons: 2
Source: RefSeq, a predicted model, not a curated record